This 682-nucleotide ribosomal RNA is filed under the name uncultured bacterium. Its description in RNAcentral is "bacterial SSU rRNA". It matches the Rfam family "Bacterial small subunit ribosomal RNA", at positions 8 to 681 of the family's 1533-position model. The record is from RNAcentral.
AGAGUUUGAUCAUGGCUCAGGAUGAACGCUAGCGGCAGGCUUAACACAUGCAAGUCGAGGGGUAACAGGGAUAAGCUUGCUUUUCUGCUGACGACCGGCGCACGGGUGAGUAACGCGUAUACAAUUUACCUUAUACAAGGGGAUAGCCUUUAGAAAUGAAGAUUAAUACCCUAUGGUAUUAUGAUAUGGCCUCAUAUUAUAAUUAAAGAUUUAUCGGUAUAAGAUGAGUAUGCGUCCUAUUAGCUAGAUGGUAGAGUAAUGGUUUACCAUGGCUACGAUAGGUAGGGGCCCUGAGAGGGGGAUCCCCCACACUGGUACUGAGACACGGACCAGACUCCUACGGGAGGCAGCAGUGAGGAAUAUUGGGCAAUGGAGGCAACUCUGACCCAGCCAUGCCGCGUGCAGGAAGACUGCCCUAUGGGUUGUAAACUGCUUUUAUAGAGGAAGAAACCUAUCCAUGCGUGGAUAGCUGACGGUACUCUACGAAUAAGGACCGGCUAACUCCGUGCCAGCAGCCGCGGUAAUACGGAGGGUCCAAGCGUUAUCCGGAAUUAUUGGGUUUAAAGGGUCCGUAGGCGGGCAAUUAAGUCAGGGGUGAAAUCCCACAGCUCAACUGUGGAAUUGCCUUUGAUACUGGUUGUCUUGAGUUAUAGUGAAGUAGAUAGAAUGUGUAGUGUAGCGG